ACGUAGGGUGCUAGAGUUGUCCGGAUUUACUGGGUGUAAAGGGUGCUCAGGUGGGUUUGUAAGUCAGAGGUGAAAUCCCAAAGCUUAACUUUGGAGCUGCCUUUGAUACUGCGAGCCUAGAGUUUGAGAGAGGGCAAUGGAAUAUCUGGUGUAGCAGUGAAAUGCGUAGAUAUCAGAUAGAACACCAAUGGCGAAGGCAGUUGCCUGGCUCAAAACUGACGCUAAAGCACGAAAGUGUGGGGAGCAAACAGG
Molecule: ribosomal RNA, 252 nt
Filed under: uncultured bacterium
Lineage: Bacteria
Description: partial 16S ribosomal RNA
Rfam family: Bacterial small subunit ribosomal RNA
Source: RNAcentral